Long non-coding RNA from Panicum virgatum (switchgrass), 569 nucleotides. RefSeq lists it as uncharacterized. NCBI's taxonomy places the organism in Eukaryota, Viridiplantae, Streptophyta, Magnoliopsida, Poales, Poaceae. The transcript is spliced from 2 exons. The record is from RefSeq and is a predicted model, not a curated record.
GUGAGAGUGUAAAAAUAUUGUAUCUUGCUGCUGAAUUACUUGGUGCAAAAAUACAGCAGAAUGAACACUGCCCGAUUGAAGAUGGCCGGGCUGCGAUGUUCAUUUACAACAAGCACAAGAAAGCAUGGGAGAAGAGCAUGAAAGAACAACUCCGGUUCAAAAAGAAGAUCAAGAAGCGAGGGAAAAAGAAACCUGCUGAGCCCAAUGUGAAUGACCCCAAUGUCCCCACUGUUCUUCUAUAAUACAUCAGAACCUGUGUGAACCAUUUCCCUAGAAGUCUUUCAUUCUGACAAGGGGGUAUGGAUAUGAUAAAUCCUACUGUAACUUUGACUCAAGUUAGUAUCUGACCAUGAAACUUUCAGAGAAUACUUGACGCUAGUAUCAUGAUCCCAAUCUUUGAUUCACAGUUCUAUAUGUAGCAUUUUUCCUAGGGAAACAGUAUUUGUAAUGAAAAUUUUGUACCUCAAUAUUCAUGUACUGUAAAUUCACACUUGCAUUCAGGUUUUGUAACAAACAUUGUCACCAUCAACUGAAAAAUGUCACAGGUGACAGGACGGGGUUGCUGAGAA